This 1863-nucleotide long non-coding RNA is filed under the name Medicago truncatula (barrel medic). RNAcentral describes it as "lncRNA gene24401". The record is from RNAcentral. Lineage: Eukaryota; Viridiplantae; Streptophyta; Magnoliopsida; Fabales; Fabaceae.
AUUUAACACAGCUGUAGGUAAUCCAUGUGCUUCAUCAUAAAAACAUAACAAAAUCAUAAGAACAGUGAUCCAAAAUCUGUCUGAUAAUUAAGACAUUGUCCAAGAGAGACCAAACUAUAGUUGCCAAAAACAGUAACAUACUUCUAAAAGAACUCAGUUUAACUAAACAAUUGCCUGAGAUUUGUUAAGGAUCACUCCCUCAUAUUUCACCUGGAACCACUUCAUGGCGUCAUCCUUGGUGACACGGUGUUGAAUUCCAACACGGGCCUUGCAUCUACGGCGACGACCCACACGAUAGCCAGGGCGUUCCAGAACCACAAAGAAAUCCAUUCCAUAAAUACCAGUAGAAGGGUCAUACCUGAAGCAGAUUGUCAAGCGUUAGGGACCAAUAAUGUUUCAAUAGUUUUAAAUCUUAACCAUGCAAUCAAACAUUUAUGAGGAGAAUGAACCAAAAGCCAGAUAACAUAAAUACAGGAAAAUGAAUCCAAAAAAGAAAGGCAUGGCAAUGUCAUUUCAAGGACAGUAAGCCAGAUUGCAAAAACAGAUAAUUGGACUUUACUUCAUAAAAAAACUAAAUCACACAAAUCAACCUAGCCUGCAAAAGUCCUUGUUCCUCAAUACCAUAUAGAGCAAACUUUAUUAUAUGCACCAACAAAGCAAGGAAUAAUAAAAAUGAAACACAAAUAUUUUCAACUUAUUUGGAACAUGCAUAAUCUGUACCACAACCUAUGUCAUAUCAUAAACUUUCCUGCCUAAAAUGUUAAUCUCUGAGAAAAGUAAUAGAAAUAGCAUGAAAUCCAAGAGUUGUUCUUAAGCUUACUUGAUUCCCAAAUCAAUAUGCUCCUGAAUACCAAAUCCAAAGCACCCAGUAUCACUGAAGUUCCUCCUCAACAGUUCAUACUCCUUCACCUUUAAACCACUUUCCAAAAGCUGCAUUGCCUUGUCGCCUCUGACAGUAACAUAGCAUGCAAUCUUCUCGUUUCUUCUGAUUCCAAAGGAUCGCACAGUGUACCUCGCUGUCAAAAUUCAAAGGAGAAAAAAAUGAGACAACCACAUUUAUCCAAUAUAAUAGCCAGUUUAUAAGAAUUAAUUAAUAAUAUAAAGUACAUUUUUAUGGCAUAAAGUACAUUAGAUAGAGUCCUGCUUUUUAGCAUGGAAACUAGGUUUAAUUGAGCAAAAGUAAGCCACAAUGUUCAAGUACAUCAAUGAGUCAAAGACCUUAAACAUUUCUUUUCUUUUCUUACAUGUAUGGAUUUGAUAUUUGAAUGCUUACAUUAAUCCUAUUCCGAAACCCAUAACAACCAUAACACAAUUUUAGUCACAAGUUCAAACCUUUCAUCAUUACCAAUAACUACAAAAUCAAACUACCAUAACUACCCUAUUAUAAAGCUUUCACAUUGUUAUUUAAAGACUAAAACAUAACGCAAUUGAAAAUCCCAUUAUUAACCCUAAAUUAGAUUCCAUACGAAACCCAAGUUAAUUUUUUUGUCUGAAACACAUUACAAUUUCAGAUCGCUAAAAUCCACACUCAUUACCAGCAUUGCAUAAGAACUCGGUAAUAAAUUUCUACAUAACUAACCUUUGGAGAACACUGGGGUUUGACCACUAAGUUGUUCCAGCACCUACAACACAAAAAAUACAUAAAAAUGAAAUCUUUAAAUUGAAAAAAAAAAAUUAAAAACCCAGAUCCAGUGAGAAGAGGGGGUGAAAACCUUGGCAGCUCUGGUGAGACGAUCUCCACUCUCACCGACGGAGAUGUUGAGGACGAGCUUCUGAACCUUCAUAUCCCUCAUUGGGUUCGCCAGUUUCUUGUCGGAAGCCAUUGAUGUGUUGCGGCGGCAGAGAUGAAUGGAAUGAAUAAAC